RNAcentral lists this ribosomal RNA (164 nucleotides) under uncultured bacterium. Its description in RNAcentral is "partial 16S rRNA". It matches the Rfam family "Bacterial small subunit ribosomal RNA", at positions 355 to 511 of the family's 1533-position model. The record is from RNAcentral.
UAGGGAAUCUUCCACAAUGGGCGCAAGCCUGAUGGAGCAACACCGCGUGAGUGAAGAAGGGUUUCGGCUCGUAAAGCUCUGUUGUUGGAGAAGAACGUGCGUGAGAGUAACUGUUCACGCAGUGACGGUAUCCAACCAGAAAGUCACGGCUAACUGCGUGCCAG